This 58-nucleotide transfer RNA is filed under the name Sphaerodactylus townsendi. RNAcentral's name for it is "tRNA-Leu". Lineage: Eukaryota; Metazoa; Chordata; Lepidosauria; Squamata; Sphaerodactylidae. The record is from RNAcentral.
GGGUUGUGGCUCAGUGGCAGAGCUCCUCAAGGCCCAGGUUCAAUCCCCGGCAUUGCCU